Molecule: ribosomal RNA, 285 nt
Filed under: Muticaria macrostoma
Lineage: Eukaryota; Metazoa; Mollusca; Gastropoda; Stylommatophora; Clausiliidae
Description: partial large subunit ribosomal RNA
Source: RNAcentral
GAGUCUAGCAUGAAGAUGGGACGUAUAAAUAUUGUCUCUAAACUUAUUAGUUAUAAAUUAAUAUAAGGGAUGAAAAUAUCCUUAAUUUAAAUAAUAGACGAGAAGACCCUUAGAAUUUUUAUUAAACCUUUCAAUAUGAGCAGGGUCUAUUUUUGUUGGGGCAACAUUAUUUCACUGGUUAAUAAAUAAAUAGUAGAGAUUAAACAUUCCGAAUUAUAUUUAAGAUUAAAUUACCUAAGGGAUAACAGCACAAUUUACAUAUAAGUUUGUGACCUCGAUGUUGGA